RNAcentral lists this long non-coding RNA (3365 nucleotides) under Gallus gallus (chicken). RNAcentral describes it as "lncRNA (ENSGALG00010026007.1)". Lineage: Eukaryota; Metazoa; Chordata; Aves; Galliformes; Phasianidae. The record is from RNAcentral.
UUCAUUUGCUCUCUCAGUGACUUCUCUAAAUAACAUCCCUCUUUCCUUCUUCUCUUCCUCUCUACAGCAUUAAAACAAAAGUCUUCAUCAUCUCAACGUUUACUCUUGCAAAAUCUCAAGAAAGCCAGUGUUCCUUAGAGGACAUAAGCCAAACGUGAAGCAAUAGAGGCUGGACAGAAAAAUGCUGUACACAGGAAUCAUCCUCUCUUUCUGCCUCCUCCAGCACAGCAGACACUGGGAGGAGGCUCUCCUCAUCAGACCUCUGCUCCUUCCCUGUUCCUAAGGCAAGACCACUGAAAGGCACCAGAGCUAUCUAACACAGAGGUAUAACUCUAAGACAAACAAAUCAACACUAACAUUGUUAUGAAACAGUAUGAAACAUACUCCAGCAGUUUAUGCAUUACAGCUGGCUGAACAGGAAAAAAGCAUCUGAAGAUAUGUCAGCAAACCCCUCCCUUUUGCUGUGACUCAGUCCCAUGGCCUGUCCACUCUUCCCAGUCAUCUUCCAUCAUCUCCUGGUUUGCCAGCUUCUCAUUUCAACUGUUUAACCCAGGGCAGCAGGCACAUGGGCGUUUGUUACAGAUUUGGUUUGAAAGUACUUAGCACCCAUUCAAAAUCCACUUCAUGUGCUUCCACGAAGUAACUACUCACAGUUCAUCUCCUCAUGAAAAGCAGACAGCAAAGGAAACAUACAGGAAUCUGUAAUCCGUAACUUUCUGGGGAAAAUAAAGUUAUAUAUAUGCCUGAGCAUGAAACAGAUAAGAGAAAAAAAAUAGGAGUAAUGAAGAGAAAACUUAUAGUCCUGUAAGUUCAGAGUUUCUGAGAGCUUCACAGUGAAUGACAUCUUGAUUUUUAAAGAAUGGCAUUGAUUUCCACUGGAAGAAACAUUCAGUGAUACUGAAGUAAGAGCACAAGUCCAAAAAGCUGGUGAACCUGCAUAGCUGGACAGAAGACGACAGCUAAUAAGCAUGUUAAAACAGUAACUAAUGAAUUCACAGGAAGUAUUUAGCUGACAAAAUGAGCCAGGCUACACGAUUUUAAACACCUGUGAUAAACCACUGCAUUAGGCAGAAAAGUAUGCAGUUUGGGGUACCUUCAAUUCAGAAGGACCCCUGGAAAACUUAGGAACAUCUACAUGGCUUCCGUACUGAUAUAAUCAAUCUGGCUGGGCUCAGUAAUGAUACGAAACUCAAGAAAGGAGUAGCAGCAGUAAUUACGGGUCUGAACAAUGUGUCUUACUGUAAAAGUCUUACUGCACUGAUGAUGCCGCACCUGGAGUGCUGGAUCCAGAUGUGGAGUCCUCAGUACUACAGAUGUAGACCUGCUAGAGAGCAUCCAGGGAAGGGCACAAAAAUGAUCCAACACCUCUCCUAUGAGGACAGGCUGAGAGCUGGGGCUAUUCAUCCUGGAGAAGAGAAGGAUCUGAGGUGGCCGGAUAGAGGCUUUCAGUAUCCGAAGGGGAGCUACAGGAAAGAAGGAGACAGACUCUUUAUCAGGGUCUGUGGUGAUAGAACAAGGGGAAAUGCCUUCAAGCUCAGGGAGGGUAGAUUUAGGUUGUAUAUAAGGAAAAAAAAUCUGAUUUUUGCUGAGGCACUGAGACAGGUUACCUAGUGAUGUGGAUGAUGCCCCAUCCCUUGAGACUUAAAAGGCGAGGCUGGUUCAGGCCCAGGGCAACCUGAUCUAGCUGUGGUGUCCCUGGUCAUUGCAGGGGAGCUGGACUAGAGGGCCCUCAGAUGUCCCUUCCAGCUCUAAAAAUUCUAUAAUUCUAAAAUCAAUAAUCAGUGUAUUUUCUCCAAAAUAGAGUUAAGAGCCAACUCAAUUUACAGACUUGGAGUGCUAAAGAAUACUCCAAUUAGAGCUCCUGGUUAUCACAAAGCUUUGUAAUUCACCCCUGUGUUGUUAUUCAUUAACACGUGUGGCUAAAAAUGAGACACUAGGAAUAUGGUUCCUGGUAAUGAACAAUCUUUAUUAUCAAAAUAUGCACCUUUUUUUCAACUGGGAUUUGUUGGGCUUUAGUUUACUGCCAUCAGUAUUUAUUUUGCCUUCCUAUGGUACAUCACAUUCCUUGAGUGUUUAGGGUUUGCUAAUCAUGCAUGUGUUUAAAUGUUGUAAUAGUCACCUCUGGAUAUUCUACUUAGGGGAAAAGAACAAUCAAGUCUUAAACUUUCUCUCUAUUUUCUAUAAGUGAAGUUUAAAUAUCACCAAAACAAUUUUGUGGCUCUUCUCUGCUUCUUUGUCAAUUAUGAAGACAUUUAAAAACAGAUUCUAGAAGCAAAUGAAUUAUCCCCAUCCCAUUUUCACUGCUACUCUACAAGGAGGUUAAGUCUCUUCUCGCCCACAGAGUUUCACACCUUCCUAAUGAUAGCUUUAGUUCUUUCAGCCCACAGCAGCAGAUGGGGAAAUCAUGACGAAUGCUUGUUUCUUAAGAUUUUUAAACCUUAUAAGUGUGCCAGGAUAGAGUUUUUCAGAACCUGGCUUAUUCUUCCACCUGUGAAACUGAAUUUGGCUGUAUGUCAAUUUAAAGAGUCAUCUGAAUCUGACAUCUAAUCUAGUCUUCCCAUUGACUGAUUUUCUCUGUCAUCAUUUGGAAUUGUCAUCAUGUGGAAUUUCUUCCAUGAUCACUAGUCUUCAGUGAACUUCUGGCACUGAUACUAAUUUACGUCUUGAAGAUGGAACUACAUAUUUGUUCUGGGUCUUGCUGGGAUGGAGUUAACUUUCUUUACAGCAGCUUGUACGGAGCCAUGUGUUGGAUUUGUGGUUAACAUUGUUGAUCACAGACUAAUAUUUUGGCUAUUGCUGAACAGUGUCUGCACAUUGUUAAGGCUUUCUCUAUAGCUCACACUGCACCAACCCGGCAAGUAGAAUGUGGGUAGGCAAGAGGCUGGGAGGGGACAGCGCCAAGACAGCUGACCAGAAUGGACCAAAGGGAUAUUCCAUACUGUAUAACUUCAUGAUCAGCAAUAAAAUCUGGAGUAAAUGAAAAAGUGUUGGAGGUCUGUUGUCUUCUGAUGUGGUUGGUGCUUGGAGACUGGCUGGCCAUUGGCUUGACUGUGGGAGGUGGUGAGUUACUGCCUGUGCAUCACUGGGAUUUUUUCCUCUUUCUUUCACCUAUUAAACUGUCUUUAAUCUCAACUCAACAAUAUUCUUAUUUUUAUACUUCCUAUUCCCUUCUCUAGCCCUCUGAGAUAUGGGGAUUAAGUAAGAGUUUGUGCGGUUGCUUGUGGGGGAUGUGUGGUCAAUCCACAACGAUAUUAGACAUAAUACCUUCUGUGAUUAAAAAAUAUUGGCCUGUGCAUAUAUUUUUAAAUGCUUUUUAUAAGCAACUGCUGGCUGUGUGAAACUCUAAACACAUGUCCCAAAUUGAG